AGAUGUGUAUAAGAGACAGACCUCAUAAAGUAUGUCGUAGUCCGGAUUGGAGUCUGCAACUCGACUCCAUGAAGUCGGAAUCGCUAGUAAUCGUGGAUCAGAAUGCCACGGUGAAUACGUUCCCGGGCCUUGUACACACCGCCCGUCACACCAUGGGAGUGGGUUGCAAAAGAAGUAGGUAGCUUAACCUUCGGGAGGGCGCUUACCACUUUGUGAUUCAUGACUGGGGUGAAGUCGUAACAAGGUAACCGUAGGGGAACCUGCGGUUGGAUCACCUCCUUA
This 282-nucleotide ribosomal RNA is filed under the name Staphylococcus aureus. RNAcentral describes it as "partial 16S ribosomal RNA". It matches the Rfam family "Bacterial small subunit ribosomal RNA", at positions 1245 to 1533 of the family's 1533-position model. The record is from RNAcentral. Lineage: Bacteria; Bacillati; Bacillota; Bacilli; Caryophanales; Staphylococcaceae.